GCUUACGGCCAUACCACCCUGAGCGCGCCCGAUCUCGUCUGAUCUCGGAAGCUAAGCAGGGUCGGGCCUGGUUAGUACUUGGAUGGGAGACCGCCUGGGAAUACCAGGUGCUGCAAGCU
This is a ribosomal RNA of Cyprinus carpio carpio, 119 nucleotides long. The record is from Ensembl. Lineage: Eukaryota; Metazoa; Chordata; Actinopteri; Cypriniformes; Cyprinidae.